UUCGUCGUCGUCGCCGCCGUCUGUAACCACUGUAUUUUUGGAGCCUCACCUCACAAUUUGAGUGCAAAAUUCAGAAACAAAGAGAGGAAGUGGAUCGAGAGGACGGGUAGGAAGAAAAGCAUACCUGGCAGCAGCGGAUCCCACACCAGUGCUCCUCCAGGAUCCACCUGACACUGCUUCCCUGGCCCUGCUACAAGGAGGCAACAAAAUCAAGAAGUUCAGUGUUCCUAUGGAACCUAUAAUAGAUCAUAUCAGUAUGAUCGUGAGCAUCUAUAUGCAAGAGAGAGAACAUAAAUUGGUUCAUCAUGACCCACUUGCUGACCCAUUGCUAGAAAGCCAAGUGAAAUGACUUCAUUACAUGUGAUGAGCACAGUGAGAGAUCUAGCUCUGCACUAAUAAACUAUAGAAGUGUUGGAAAGCUAAACAAAAUCCCAAAACGAUCCUCAUUAUUAAGCAUGGAUGAUUAGGGCUAAGUAACUUUCCGUUCAAUAGGGCAUGAUACAAAAAGUAAUGUAAUUAACAUGAAGACUCGCUUCAAAAUCAUCGAGAUGCUUUGUAGCAUCAAUGGAGAUGUUUGCCAGUAUUGUAUUUGAAGCUUUCCUGAACCAGUUAAGUAUUCAACUCCCAGCUGAUCCUGGAUAAGAAGUUCAGGGAAGAAGAUACCAUCAUAAAUAUUUAGUAACUUGACUUGAAUAAAUCCUUUGUUUGUCAUUAAUUAAUCCAGUUAAUGCAUACAAUACACAGGUAGGUGAACUGUUGAUUGCUGAAAGAUGUAUUGCACAUAUCUCCAAAUCAGCACUAUAAAUAGUACUGUUAUUAAAUUAGCACAACUAAAAAUAUAUUAAAUAAUAUGCAUGAAAAUGCUCAUGGAUUAAUUUCUCUAGCUUCUAUUGUCGAGACAAUAGCUCUGCUCUCUUUAGUGGUGAAGUUUUUUCAUGAUACACGAGAUGAACACAUUGAAAUAAAGAAACUGAAUCGAGAUCUUAUUUGGUCUGGCAUCCAGGUAAAAGGUGAACGCCAUACACCAACAACCAUGAACAUAAAGGUAAAUAGAAGCAACGACAAUAAAAAAAUCAUGAUAUUACCUACUGCCCCAACAAUUUAUCCUCAUGUUGGAUCCAUAACAGGGAGGAGAGACGAGAUGCAAGUUGUACCUGAGGCGCGCAUGCGACCAAGGGCACGCACGAACGAAUUGAUAAGAACCCAAGGCUCACACGACGCCUCUGCUGCUCCUGCAGCACGCAUCCAUUUCAACAUCAUUCUUCACGAUGUCAAAGACGAGGAGGAGAGAGGCGGCUGCUUGGCCAACGACCAGCCACAACACCCUUCAGCAACCCGACUCGACCCCGUCUUCCUCCACAUCCUGGUCGGCGGCGCCUUCCCGUCACUACUCGACUGAUUAUAUUAGGGUGCGAGACUGUGAAUAGACUCACAUGCCGAACUUCACUGCCCUUGUACAUAUUCGAACUUGGUCUUCAAGCAGUUUCACUUGUAGGUGGCCAGAGAUUUGCAUCAAUGUCAUAUGUUCAACAAUCUCUUCAGCGACUGAAAUAUUCUUAUCCAUGGCUGGAAGCAACAAAGUAUAUCCAAUGAAUAGUGCUCAAGCCAUACACUAAAAUACGAAGACAUGUUCCAGAAAACCAAUUCAGUUUGCAAGGAAAUACAUUCCUCUAAUAGAGACCUGAAAAAAUAACAGAAUAUUUUCAGGUUUGCAAACGCAUACCAGCAAACAAGAACAUAUCAACUUGAAGAUUAACUGAGGCUUCACUACCUUAAACUGAGAAAGAAAAUAAAGAUAUCACAGGGGAAGUUUGGAUGUACCCAAUUCCUCAUAGCAUCCCCUGCCGGCCUGUCUCCAGACGACGAUGGUGACUCAUCAAAGUAAGACAGUACAGUAAUCAGGAUAUCUUACAGUUAACAAUGUAUAACAAAAAAGAAAACUUAUAAAUAAUAUGUUCUACGACUGAAUUUAUAUUAAUGAGAGGCUCAUCUAACUUGAAGGGAUAACCAAAUUUAACCAAUUGAACAGAGAAUCAAAUUUAACCAAUGAGCUAAAGUUGCCUUGAGAUGCUAUAUAAAGUAUAACCACUGUAAAUCAAAUCCUUACCGCGGGCUCAUUUGGAUUCUUUUUAAUAGCUGCAGUAUUGUGAGAUGCCCCUUCCUGAUAUUUUAUCUUGUAAAAUAGUUCAUUGCCUGCAACAUGCAUAGCGGGUACAUUCAGAUUCUAGAAGCAGCGGUAUUUGCGGACUAAUUUGGCAUCAUAAUGAUAUCAUUCACUUAUUCCCGAGUAGAUCGCAUCACCUCCGCCCCCCUGCAGGAAACACAGAAAAGCUUCGUCAUCUCAAGCAUCAGCAUGAACUCAUUGAAGCACAGGUAUAACAUAGGAAUGAACUGAAGGUUAGCACCACAGAUGCACAUGUCUAAAUUAAAAAAUAUAUAACGCUACUUAUGCAAACACCACGGCACCACACAGCAAAUCAGCUGACGGCUUAGUAUUCUUCUGUAUCGAACAUCUAAAAACUUAUUCACAGAUGUCAGUAUGUUCCGUAAUCAGACGGUGGUCCAUUUUAUAACUAAGAAAUUGCCUCCGUUCUCAUCGAAGAACUGCAACAUUAACGAAACCAGAGUGUAUCAAUUUGUGUAGUACCGCUUUAAUCCUCUCAGAUGCUUGCGGAUCCGGCUUCACUCCACACUGUUCGGACUACGCCGGCUCGCUGUCCCUGCUAUUAGCAUCGUCCGCAGUGGUGCCGCCGCCAUCUAAAUUCACCGCCACCUACGAAUCUUGCCCUCUCGUCGGCUACCCAUGUCAAUUCUCUCUUUCAUAUCCGAGCUUGCUGGCCCAACUACGUCUGAAAAGAUUGGCACCCUGGCACGGAGGCGGGGUUAAAACGCCAGAUAUGAGCAAACACGACAUCUACAAAACCACCGCUACAUGCAUUCACAAAGAAGGGAUCACCUAAAGACCUUAUCCACACGGAAAUGACCGGGGGCACCGGAGGGGUGGGAAACGGCGUCGGGCCCGACCUCUGGCUUCCAGCCAUAUAGCAUACAGCUCAGGGAGAGUCGCCUACCUCUCUCAAAUAUGCAGAAAUGAAAUAGAAGGCAUGUAGUAUGAAAGGACCUCGGUUUAUUGUGCUUGACAUGGUUCUGCAGAAAAUACCAAAAACAAAGCUAAUGGCAGGCAAUGAAUAUUAUGUGCAGAAAACACACCUCCGAUCAACAUAUUCAAGAAAAAACUUUCUCAAAGGACACAGAGUCAGAUAAUUUGCAUUAGGACACACAAAAAAUACAGCAUAACAGACAUGGUAAUUGGCAAUAACCAUCCUGGGAGAUGAACAGAAACGAAGCUACAUCCACCACAAGAAAACAAACAUUGGUUAAAAUCAGAUCCAACACUAAGGGUAAUGCUUUUGAUAAAAGUAUAUGAGUCUUGAGUUCAUGGUUAUAAGAAACUACAUUCCAAAAUAGAGCAUAUAAUUGGAAACCUACAUCCAACGCAUAGGCACUAACCUCGUUCUCCUAGACGCCUCUGCCCCGCUCCACUGCGCUAGGGAAGUAGAUUACCUUUUGCUGCCAAAAAAAUGACCGUGUUGGCCCCAUAAUCAGGUCUCCCAAAAAACAGAAUCCUUCAUCGGUGCCUUGCUGGACAAGAGUGCAGCUGGUGUAGUGAAAGUUAGCUUUAUCAAUUUUAAAAAAUAAUCGACAGUAUAAUUUUAUCCAAAACUCCUGCUUCUCCCUACACCGAUAUGUCAAAUCAAUUGAAAGGCUUUUCUUUACGGGAGCAUGCUCUCAAGGGAGUUUCAGUUCAUUUCAUAGUCAUGCUUAAGUUAUUUGAUGUCCCUUUUAUGCUCCUGUUUCAAAUAAACACUUGUUAUGUUGAUUUUAUGGGUCAGCAGAAGCUUGUGAUACAUUUAACUACCUCUUCCAUUGAUAACAGUAUGCUAUUUGCUUUUCCUAAUUCUUCCUUCAAACUUCAGGAUUCUGUGUGAAAUUUUCAGCUGAAUAAUAGCAAAUGGAAAUAGUCGGAGACACACAUGAAUUAAAUUGCAUAAAGCUACCAUUUUCCAUUGAACGUAAUCUCUUAUCAGAUUUCAAGCUCUAAUCAGGAAUAAAAUUAGAAAAAUUUGUACAAUUUAGAAAUUAAUAUAGAAUGGAAGGCAACCAAAUUCACAAGCUCUAGAGCACUUGUUUAAGCUAUUCCUAUGAGAAAAAUAGUACAUUGGAGUCUGAGGUGUCAAAACAAAAGAAAUUAUAGUCCUCCCAUCAACUCAAUCUCCUAGGUGUAAAGGACAUCAUACAAAUUGAAGCCAAGAUCAUCAACUGAACUAAUUUCAUCUACAUCCAGUAGUUAACAUCUGAGAUGAAAACUAAUUUAGUUGAGCCAUCAUUUUAGAAUUAGAAAUUUAUCAACCUUCAUGUAGCAAUCUACCUGGUUGGUGAAUUUGAAUAAGGUUUCCGUGUGCAACCUUCUUAAACGCUCAUUAUCUGUGCAACACAAACAAUUAAACUCAAUGCUUCUUGCGACCUCAACAAGCAAUGGAAAUUACGUAUUACACGAUUUUGCACUAAGACGAAAGAAAAUACUGAAGCUAUACUGGAGAAGAAUGCUGAAAUUUCAGUGAAACCUCUGUUGAGAUCUGCUAUAUGCGACUCGGGAGCUUCACGCUGCUUGGGUCAGAGCUGCAAUCCAUUCUUAGAGCCUGUUCGCAACCUCUCCAAUCUCAAAACUCCGCUCCGCGCUGUAGAGGAGACGAGGACCUCGGUUUGAGCCACUCCCUGAUUUGUGCUGCCGCUCCCUUUUUUUUAGAACGAAGGCUCAAGGAGAGCCCGGCUUUGAAUUAACAAAGCCAUCAACCGGCUAGGAUUACAAGAACACCAACUUACAAGGAAAGCAAGAAGAGAAACAAGCGGCUGAUACAGGGAGCAAAGCGAAACAGACUCAAAGGCAGUAGCGAUAGCACACGCCAUGCUGCCGCCAACACCCUACAGGACGACCUACACCAACCGGACAGGCAACGGGCUUGAGAGGAUGCACCACCGCGCAAGCUUCGUGAUCGUAGCCAAACUCGAAGACAGCACUGACACUCCUCUGGAACUGCCACUGCAAAGGGCCCCUGCCCUCUCAUCCUGGCUCGAAGAAUGCCGCACCGGCAGGCUGCAGCUCGGUUCACCCUUGAACCCAGGGGAAGACGUCCAAGCUGCUCAUGAAGAAAGAACUAGGAGCAGACCUGCUAGCACAGAGCACGCCCUUCCGAGCACCGUCGUCGUCCGCGGUUAAGCCACACCGAAGGGCUAGAGCUGCCGGCCACAGUCGCAGCAACAAGGGCAAUAGCGAUGAGCCACCGAAGAAAAGGCAGUUAAGCGUCGAGCCAAGUUGCCACCCGCCACCAUCACACCCACAACCCGACUCUCUCGCCGCCCCUGCGAUCCCCGGACUGCGCCUCCAAGAAGGAACACGACACGGAUGUGUCGUCGCCGCCCGAAACAGGGGACCUAGGCUUUCACCUAGCAGUGAACGGAAGGAGGGGGAGAAGGAUCCUCACCACAGCCUCUAGGGAGGGGUACGACGCCCAGGGCGUCGCCUGCGAUGUGGCUGCGCCGACCAAGGGUUUCCCCCGAAACCAACCCCACUCGACGAGAUCCGCGCUGCCGACGCCCGGGAGGUCCGGCGAAGGAAGGAGCAGAUCGGGGGCGGAGAGGGUGAGAUGCAUCUGGCGACGGCCGCCGCGCAGGGGAGGCCGCACACCAGCGACCGUGGACCGGCGCCUCCUCGUCCCCCGCGAGACCGAGGGCGGCGCCUCACCAGCUCCGGUCGGAGUGGCCCGCCGCCCGGGCCACCCGACGCUCUCCGCCCGGGGCUGCCGGCCCGGAUGCCGAGCCCUCCACGCUAGGUGGAGCCGCCAGAUCCCCCGCCGCCACCUUCAUCGGUGUCGAGCGCACGCCGGCGCACACCUCUGGCGGCGGCGGAGGGGAAGGGGAGGGGGAAGGAGGGGUGCGGCGNNNNNNNNNNNNNNNNNNNNNNNNNNNNNNNNNNNNNNNNNNNNNNNNNNNNNNNNNNNNNNNNNNNNNNNNNNNNNNNNNNNNNNNNNNNNNNNNNNNNNNNNNNNNNNNNNNNNNNNNNNNNNNNNNNNNNNNNNNNNNNNNNNNNNNNNNNNNNNNNNNNNNNNNNNNNNNNNNNNNNNNNNNNNNNNNNNNNNNNNNNNNNNNNNNNNNNNNNNNNNNNNNNNNNNNNNNNNNNNNNNNNNNNNNNNNNNNNNNNNNNNNNNNNNNNNNNNNNNNNNNNNNNNNNNNNNNNNNNNNNNNNNNNNNNNNNNNNNNNNNNNAUCCCAGUCAGGAAGAACCUCCGCUCCGGGAGCCGCAGUUGUGGAGCGGAGAGAAUCCGAACAGGUCCUUAAAGCCUGGGCAUGCAUUAGUGCAUCUUUAUACCCAUGUCCAGAACAACAAAAUAGUAAACCAUAGAAGAUCAACACAGCGCAGGAAAUAAAUACUUAGACAUAUAUCAUCUUCCUUAGACAAUAAAAACUGGUAGAUUAGAUGUCAAGUGGCAACACUCGAAUUCUGGAAGGAGUAGAAAUUAAAAACAUCACUCUCUCCUGCCCCCACAGACUAUCCUACAUGUAUUUUGGUUCACAUAGGAACUGAAAUAAAUGUCCACGGUCCAGCAAGUAAUAAUUUGAAGAGGGUUCGACAUGUCGAGCGUUGGAGUUGAACUACUGUAAAUAGGAGAGACAAUCUUCAACAUAACCAACUGUCUACAACCUGCACCACAAGAUCGGCCAAAUAUGCAAUCCAACUUGAAGGGAAGCUGCUGUAAAUACAACACUAACUCCCUGGAUGCUAACUGCUCUAGAUUCCACCAAUGUCGUCAAAGAUUACUAUCUAUUCGACGCUCUGCAUGUCAUAGGCAUUUCAUCUAACACCUGAGCCUGUGGAAGUUCAGCAGGAGUGACUCGCGUCUACACAUAUAUGUAGGGAUUUGCCCACAGGAUCAAUCACAUCAAAUCACCCAACGAACACACGCACAACAACUGAUAGCCAAGGGCGCGUCUCGCACCCUCUAAUUCCUCUCCUUAUUGAUUUUCUCUUUUUUUCUGUGCUACAAAACUUACAGCGUGCUGUGUAUAUAUAUACACACAACCAGCCGAACCCACAACUUGCUAGACGUACACGAAAUCCACCUCUAAACCUAGCCGCGUACAGACUCCUAUUCCUAAUACUACUAGGACAUCAAUCAGACUUUCUAUACGACUAGAACAUGGACUCUCACUUACGGAGUACUACCUAAACUAAUCAACCGGCAAGCUUAAUCACUCUUAGACAUAACUCAUCGUAACCGGAGGACUCUCCUAAUCAAACUUACCAUAUGUUUGGAUUAUUUCAACAUUCACCCCCUAAUCCAAACAUCCGACAUUUUUUACUCAACGAGACACGCAGACGAUCACCUCUUCAUCUUGUCUCAUCGAUUGCCUCCGGCGACGCGACUUACCGGGCCACAGCUUCUCUCUUCUUGCAACGAUGGCCACCACAUCAUCACCAUCUCUUCUUUCUCACACCGACUUAUGGACUGGACCAACGAUUACCCGGACUACCAGCCACGCUGCCACAUCUUAGCGUGCUACAUGCCGACUAAACGCAUAGCCUCAUGCAGGAACUCAACUUAUCUGGUGCACGUCCUCUUCACGUUGAUCUUCAUCUUCUCGUCAAUUGCUUGUGCACGGGGAGACACAUCUUUUCACCCGCCACAUCUUCACUUUCCCGUUGUCAUUGUCGCCGAUGCCACAUCGUAUCGAACGACACCUCAUGUCCAGCGGCAACACAACUCGCCAUAUACGUGCAACUCAUGUCCACCGUAUAUGAACUCACCGGAAUUCCACGACCAUGAACGGAAACACAACGCACAAUUUCCUUUUUCCAUCCGCCCAAUAUCUCAAUUCUCCUCGCCAGUGACGCAUCUCAACUGCAGCAGAAGAUUCACACACCCGAACUCUUGGACGCAUCUUACAAGAACUCAUGUGCACACCUUGAUGAAGGCUCACAACUUCGCCAUCUCCAUCUUGCAUCCUCCAACGAUGAUCUUGAUGAUUUCCUCGGUGUCGCAACUUCGGCACCUCCAUAACCAUCAACAAUCACUAGUGCCUUGUCGACAACAGCUUGUCGCCCUUCUCCUUGUUGUUCCGCCGAACAACAAUCACCUGUCGCCUCGCUUGCGACGGCACCCUCACUGCCUUGUCGUCACUUCGCGCACAACUAUUGCCUUAUAGUCCUCGUCGCUGCACCACCCAGCGACCAUAUCACCCGCUCGUCGUUGUCGCUACAUCAGCGACUGUAUCGCCCGCCCCGAGGCGCUAGUCGGGUCGCCACCCCGGGGCAAGCGCAGCUUCACCUCGACCUUGCUCUGAUAUCAAUUUAGGGAUUUGCCCACAGGAUCAAUCACAUCAAAUCACCCAACGAACACACGCACAACAACUGAUAGCCAAGGGUGCGUCUCGCACCCUCUAAUUCCUCUCUUUAUUGAUUUUCUCUUUUUUUCUGUGUUACAAAACUUGCAGCGUGCUGUGUAUAUAUAUACACACAACCAGCCGAACCCACAACUUGCUAGACGUACACGAAAUCCACCUCUAAACCUAGCCGCGUACAGACUCCUAUUCCUAAUACUACUAGGACAUCAAUCAGACUUUCUAUACGACUAGAACAUGGACUCUCACGUACGGAGUACUAUCUAAACUAAUCAACCGGCAAGCUUAAUCACUCUUAGACAUAACUCAUCGUAACCGGAGGACUCUCCUAAUCAAACUUACCAUAUGUUUGGAUUAUUCCAACAAUAUAUUGGCACCUAUACAGCAGCGGCAGUAGCACGAGCUAGCAACAAGCACAAAAUAAAGUAGCAAGAUAGCAGUAGUACCAGGAGAAGCUCAACAAAUGGCUUGGCUUCCUACAGGUACACUGGGAUUUGUUUCUCGCUAUACAAAACUGCCAGCAUUAAUCUUCAGAAACUUUAUAUUGUAAUAAAUUCAAUGACAAGGAGAGAGAUCAGGAGCAGAGGGGGAAGAAGAUCACCUUGGCAUCAACCAUUGCUCGAUGCAGGUGGUCGCAGCAUGGUGAGGAAACCGGCACCAGGACUCUCGUCCAGACCGCUCUACCGCCUCCCGUGUCGACGCAGAUAAUAGAU
This 9169-nucleotide long non-coding RNA is filed under the name Triticum aestivum (bread wheat). RNAcentral describes it as "long non-coding RNA (TAES_LNC011536)". The record is from RNAcentral. Lineage: Eukaryota; Viridiplantae; Streptophyta; Magnoliopsida; Poales; Poaceae.